Molecule: ribosomal RNA, 460 nt
Filed under: uncultured bacterium
Lineage: Bacteria
Description: partial 16S ribosomal RNA
Rfam family: Bacterial small subunit ribosomal RNA
Source: RNAcentral
CCUACGGGAGGCAGCAGUGAGGAAUAUUGGUCAAUGGACGAGAGUCUGAACCAGCCAAGUAGCGUGAAGGAUGACUGCCCUAUGGAUUGUAAACUUCUUUUAUAUGGGAAUAAAAUGUUCCACGUGUGGGAUUUUGUAUGUACCAUAUGAAUAAGGAUCGGCUAACUCCGUGCCAGCAGCCGCGGUAAUACGGAGGAUCCGAGCGUUAUCCGGAUUUAUUGGGUUUAAAGGGAGCGUAGGUGGAUUGUUAAGUCAGUUGUGAAAGUUUGCGGCUCAACCGUAAAAUUGCAGUUGAAACUGGCAGUCGUGAGUACAGUAGAGGUGGGCGGAAUUCGUGGUGUAGCGGUGAAAUGCUUAGAUAUCACGAAGAACUCCGAUUGCGAAGGCAGCUCACUGGACUGCAACUGACACUGAGGCUCGAAAGUGUGGGUAUCAAACAGGAUUAGAUACCCUAGUAGUC